Molecule: long non-coding RNA, 3436 nt
Organism: Physeter macrocephalus (sperm whale)
Lineage: Eukaryota; Metazoa; Chordata; Mammalia; Artiodactyla; Physeteridae
Exons: 4
Source: RefSeq, a predicted model, not a curated record
UUUUACCAGGGGAUAAAAUUUCUUUUGGAAACUGGCAGCAUCCUUAAUGCUUUUUUUAACUUUAGAUAGGCUUUCCUUUUGUCUGUCUGCCAUUUUCAUUUUCUGAAAGCACAGGCUAAAUUUGCAUGACUAAGUAGAGGAUAGAAGAAUAACUUUGGAAAGUAGAAAUCAGUGUGUCUGGAUUGCUACAUAUGGAACUAGGAUAGCAGAAGGGGUCAUUUGGAGUCCGGUUUGCAUUGCUAGGUCUCCUGGGAAAAACUGGGAAGAGGAAUUUUGGACUGAUGCUUGCAUGCUCUGAUGAAGCCAGAUGCUGUGGUGGAGAGGAACACGUGACAAGGAAGGAAGGAUGGCUUCUGUUCGACAUCCUGAAAAGAACUGAGACCCCUGGUCUGAUAUCUGUGAGGAACUGAUAAUCCUGCUAACAACCACUGGGACACAGAGAAGAUACAGUCCUGCUCUCCCAGAUGCUGGCUUAGGUUAUAGAACAUCUUUGCUGUAGAUGAAAAGAUUGAUUGGAUGAUCUUCUCCAUGUCUCCAGCCUAUCUGCACCAAAACAACCUGUCUUGAGCAUGUGUGGUUGACAACUCGAUGGAAAGGGAUUGUGGCUGACAUACACAGGAAGAUCUACUUUCUUAAAAUCUCAUGUCCCAAGGAUCUUAUGAUUCCUUGAAUGGUGUCAACUGUGUUUUAUGAUUUAUUUAUUCAUCUACUCAAUUUAUUUUGAUUGUGUGCUGCUCUGUACCAGGAACUGUGCCAAGAAAUGGGGAUACAUUGUUGAACAAGAGGGAAUCCUAUCCUCAAGGAGCUUACAGUAGUCAGGGGAAGAUACGCACAUUUCUAGUAUGAAGAAGUAUGACAAAUGCUAGGAAAAUGGAAGUAGAGAGUGCUAUGGGGUACCCAGGAGGGUUAUUCAACCCGGUCUUAUACCAUCAGGGAAUGUUUCCCAAAGGAAAUAACAUCUAAUCUGAGACCUGAAGGAUAAAUACUAGUUAGGCAGAUUAAGGAGAACAACUGGUCAGAGGGGAUGGGUUUUAGUUUUAAGGUAUUCUAGAAAAACAACUUGGGCUAAGACCAGCAGGGAGUAAAAAGCAUUUGGCAAAUUGAAAGUAAUUUCUUGGGUUGAUAUGUAGAUGGCAUGGGAGAUGGAGGGGGGGAGAUGAAGCAGGAGAGGAAAGCAGAGGUCAGAUCAUGAAAGGCCUUAUAAGGAAGGUGAAGUGUAUGGGUGUUAUUUUGAGGACAAUGAGGAACCAUUACAUCUUUUCAUGUAGACGGUGUGUAGUAGAACUAUGUUUGCAUUUUAGAAAGCUUACCCUGAGGAUGAACUUGAGAUAAGCCUAGUACUAGAAGGGGGUUCUCUUAGGAGGUUGCUGCAGUAAUUGAGGCCAGAGAUGAUGAGCUGGACUUGGAUGGAGACAGUGGGGCUGGAGAGACAUGCCAUGUCUCUAAGAGGGUUUGAAGCAGGCAACCCAAACCUGGCAUGCUGUCCCAUUCAGACAGUUGCUGUCAUGACAGGGCAGCCCUGCAAAAUGCAAGUUGUCAUCUCCUUGUUUGAUUUCAGCUAACUGUGAGCUCCCUGGGGGCAGGGACUAUUUUGUAUUCAUCUGUGUGUCUCUAGUACCUGGGAGAUGCUCAGGGAAAGAAUGUUCUAGAAGAAGUUUUUUUGAUACAGUGGUUGCCCUCAUGACUUACCAGACCCAGCUUUGUUAGGAAAGGUCAAUGGCAAUCAUGAAAUCAAGGUCUAGAGCUAUUUCAGCCUGCACAUUAAGAUGUGGACCCUUUAACUUGGCUUACUCUGCCCAUUGAAAUGUCCAGGCUGGUUUUCCUGACUCAGUUCUCUUCUGCCAUCUGCUGGGACAAGCAUUUCAUAACGUACCAAAGCGAGAUAACCAAUGAAGCGAAGGCUAAAAGCUUCUUGGGGAAAGCAAGGGACAAUACCUGGACAACUUUACAAUUUAAUUGGAUCAAUACAUGUUGUACCCAGACUACCUUCCAUCUGCAGCUAAUCUCGAGUAUUUUCCAUAUCCCGUUCUAUUUUUUUUCAUGCAGACUAUCUUAAAUAUCUGUAUUCUUCUUUAGUUUUUGCAACAAUCCUAUGAGAACAGCCAAUGUUAUCACUACUAGUUUUGAAACAAGGAAAGGGAAGCAUAGGGGUUUAAAUAAAAUGUCAGCUUGGAAAAGUAAAUAAGUGACUGAGUCACGACUGAUGCCUCCUUUACUCCUAGUUCCACUUUUCUCACAAAACAUCCUGAUCAAAAUAAGAGAGAGUUCAAGAGAGGCCGAGAUGUGCUGUUGUCUGUGGCAUGGAAAAUGUGGGUCUGACAUGGAGGCAGAGAAGGCUGACAGCUCCUCAAUGUUCUGCACUUAAAAUGCCCAGUGUUGGUGUGAGGACUGGGGGGUGGAGAGAGUGGGAACAAUUCUUACACAUUUUAUGUUCCCCAGUGAAAAGUCAAGGGGAUGUCCCUGUGGGGGGAAAAAUUGUAACUCUAUGAAGAUUGAUAGAGCUUGAACCAAGAUGGUACCUAAAACUUUUGGUGGAUGUUGUCAAAAUAGAUGCUGUUGUUUUGGUUAACAUAUGUGGUUAAGACAAAGACGCAGAUAUAGAGGACAAACUAGUGGUUACCAGUGGGGAGAUGGAAGCGGGGAGGGGCAAUACAGGGGUAGGGGAGUAAGAGGUACAAAUUAUUAGGUAUAAAAUAACAACACGGGGAAUAUAGCCAAUAUUUUACAAUAACUUUAAAAACUGUGAAUCACUGUAUUGUACACUUGUAACAUAUAAUAUUGUACAGCAACUAUACUUCAGUUUAAAGAAAGACAAAGACACUAGCGCACCAUCCUUUUCUCAUCUAAACUUGUUAUUCGUAUAUAAAUACAUGCUUAUACAAAUGCAUAAAUAUAUUCUUGGAGUUAAAAAACCCAAACAUUCAGGGAAAGCUAAAAUUCUCCUUUACUUUCCCCAAAGAUACUGUCAGUGGUAAGCUUCCAGAUUUUUUUCUAUGUGUUUACAUAAACAUUUGUGUUGCCAUGGGAACAUGGUGUAUUGUUUGGUCUUUUAUUCCCGUAUGAAUGAUAUCUAGCUGUACUGCCUUACCUCUCCAAGUGAGGGUUCCACACUCUCCUGACUCACUGGGAUGUGCCCCUCCUGGGGCGCCACCUUAUUACACAGUCAUCCUCUGCCCAGCCCUCUCACACUAAGCCUCCAGGCUGGGAGCUCUCUAGAGCUUGUACCCAGCUUCACAAUAGCUUUCUUUCUUUCUUUUUUAAAUUGGGGUAAAAUAUACAUGGGACAGAUUUAUUAUUUUAACCAUUUUUAAGUGUGCAGUUCAGUGGCAUUAAGUGCAUUCACAUUGUUGUGCAACCAUCACCACCAUCCAUCUCCAGGACUUUUUCAUCUUCUUGAACUGAAACUCCACGGAUUAAACAACUCCCCAUUUCCCCU